Molecule: non-coding RNA, 149 nt
Organism: Tupaia belangeri (northern tree shrew)
Lineage: Eukaryota; Metazoa; Chordata; Mammalia; Scandentia; Tupaiidae
Source: Rfam
CUUUUCUGAGCAGGAAAGAGACUAGGUAAAGUAGCAUGUAAUAUCCUUAUUCCCACACAGAUGUCUGAAGCUUCUUUCUCCUUUGGUCAAACCUGAUUUGUAUUUCUUCUUGUUAAUGCCCCCAGAGUACUGAGGCUGCUUUCUGCCUG